UGGGGAAUUUUGGACAAUGGGCGAAAGCCUGAUCCAGCAAUGCCGCGUGUGUGAAGAAGGCCUUCGGGUUGUAAAGCACUUUUGUCCGGAAAGAAAUCCUUGGCUCUAAUACAGUCGGGGGAUGACGGUACCGGAAGAAUAAGCACCGGCUAACUACGUGCCAGCAGCCGCGGUAAUACGUAGGGUGCAAGCGUUAAUCGGAAUUACUGGGCGUAAAGCGUGCGCAGGCGGUUUGCUAAGACCGAUGUGAAAUCCCCGGGCUCAACCUGGGAACUGCAUUGGUGACUGGCAGGCUAGAGUAUGGCAGAGGGGGGUAGAAUUCCACGUGUAGCAGUGAAAUGCGUAGAGAUGUGGAGGAAUACCGAUGGCGAAGGCAGCCCCCUGGCAAGUACUGACGCUCAUGCACGAAAGCGUGGGGAGCAAACAGGAUUAGAUACCCUGGUAGUCCACGCCCUAAAACGAUGUCAACUAGUUGUUGGGGAUUCAUUUCCUUAGUAACGUAGCUAACGCGUGAAGUUGACCGCCUGGGGAGUACGGUCGCAAGAUUAAAACUUAAAUGAAUUGACGGGGUCAUAGCUGUUUCCU
Molecule: ribosomal RNA, 585 nt
Filed under: uncultured bacterium
Lineage: Bacteria
Description: partial 16S ribosomal RNA
Rfam family: Bacterial small subunit ribosomal RNA
Source: RNAcentral